GAUGAACGCUGGCGGCGUGCCUAAUACAUGCAAGUCGAGCGAACAGACGAGGAGCUUGCUCCUCUGUCGUUACCGACGGACGGGUGAGUAACACGUGGAUAACCUACCUAUAAGACUGGGAUAACUUCGGGAAACCGUAGCUAAUACCGGAUAAUAUAUUGAACCGCAUGGUUCAAUAGUAAAAGACGGUUUUUAUGUCACUUAUACAUGGAUCCGCGCCGCAUUAGCUAGUUGGUAAGGUAACGGCUUACCAAGGCAACGAUGCGUAGCCGACCUGAGAGCGUCAACGCCCACACGGGAAGUGAGACACGGUCCAGACUCCGGCGGGAGGCAGCAGUAGGGAAUCCUCCGCAAUGGGCGAAAGCGGGACGGAGCAACGCCGCGUGAGUGAUGAAGGUCUUCGGAUCGGAAAACUCUGUUAUUAGGGAAGAACAAAUGUGUAAGUAACUAUGCCCGUCUUGACGGUACCUAAUCAGAAAGCCACGGCUAACUACGUG
RNAcentral lists this ribosomal RNA (497 nucleotides) under uncultured bacterium. Its description in RNAcentral is "partial 16S ribosomal RNA". It matches the Rfam family "Bacterial small subunit ribosomal RNA", at positions 28 to 507 of the family's 1533-position model. The record is from RNAcentral.